Myotis lucifugus (little brown bat) is the source of this 616-nucleotide RNA transcript. It is a transcript of the gene named trafficking protein particle complex subunit 6B pseudogene, with no coding region annotated. The transcript has 2 exons. The record is from RefSeq and is a predicted model, not a curated record. Lineage: Eukaryota; Metazoa; Chordata; Mammalia; Chiroptera; Vespertilionidae.
AUGGCCAUUACCAAUAAGAGAAGCAAUAACAAAAAUUUAAAAAAGAGAUUUAGUGGAGGUGUUGUUUUGCUUCUCCAUAAAGAGAUGGUGUCAGGAGUGUACUAGUCUGCAGAGCAGGGGAAGGUGGGAAAUUCACGCUGUAUUACUAAGCUGGAAAACAUGGGGUUUCGAGUGGGACAAGGAACAAAGGUUUACAAAAGAUACCGUGAGGUUCAAGUAUGAGUUAGAUGUCAUGAACUUCAUUUGGAAAAAUUUCUUGGACUACAGUAUUUAAGAAACAAAUCAUCAGUCUCAGGACAAAUCAUCAGGGCAUCUAUGUACUUCAGAACAAUAAAUUCAGUCUGCUUACUCAGAUGUCUGCAGGAAAACAGUAUUUAGAACGUGCAUCUAAGUAUUUAGCAUUUACAUGUGGCUUACUCGGAGGUAGCUUAUCAAACUUGGGGGUAAACAUUAUUGUAACAGCUAAGGCAUCUUCAAUGCUUGCCUGUAAAUUUCAGGUGAUGAUACAGAAGUUGUACAAUAUACUGAAAUGCAAGGCUUCAACAGUAUAAAGAGUUAAAUUAUUCAUGUAUAAAGUAUUUCAAGUAGCAAUGAUUUAAUUACAUUGUUGGACAUU